UACAUGUGGGGCAAGCGUUGUUCGGAAUUACUGGGCAUAAAGGGUGCGUAGGUGGCUUGUUAAGUCAGGGGUGAAAGUUUUCGGCCCAACCGGAAAAUGGCCUUUGAUACUGGCGAGCUUGAGUGCGUGAGGGGUAACCGGAACGAGCAGUGUAGCGGUGAAAUGCGUAGAUAUCGUGAGGAACACCAGAGGCGAAGGCGGCUACCUGGACAAUUGCUGACGCUCAGGCACGAAAGCGUGGGGAGCAAAAGGG
Molecule: ribosomal RNA, 253 nt
Filed under: uncultured bacterium
Lineage: Bacteria
Description: partial 16S ribosomal RNA
Rfam family: Bacterial small subunit ribosomal RNA
Source: RNAcentral